GAUGAACGCUGGCGGCGUGCCUAAUACAUGCAAGUCGAGCGAACGGACGAGAAGCUUGCUUUUCUGGUGUUAGCGGCGGACGGGUGAGUAACACGUGGAUAACCUACCUAUAAGACUGGGAUAACUUCGGGAAACCGGAGCUAAUACCGGAUAAUAUUUUGAACCGCAUGGUUCAAAAGUGAAAGACGGUCUUGCUGUCACUUAUAGAUGGAUCCGCGCUGCAUUAGCUAGUUGGUAAGGUAACGGCUUACCAAGGCAACGAUGCAUAGCCGACCUGAGAGGGUGAUCGGCCACACGGGAACUGAGACACGGUCCAGACUCCUACGGGAGGCAGCAGUAGGGAAUCUUCCGCAAUGGGCGAAAGCCUGACGGAGCAACGCCGCGUGAGUGAUGAAGGUCUUCGGAUCGUAAAACUCUGUUAUUAGGGAAGAACAUAUGUGUAAGUAACUGUGCACAUCUUGACGGUACCUAAUCAGAAAGCCACGGCUAACUACGUG
This 497-nucleotide ribosomal RNA is filed under the name uncultured bacterium. RNAcentral describes it as "partial 16S ribosomal RNA". It matches the Rfam family "Bacterial small subunit ribosomal RNA", at positions 28 to 507 of the family's 1533-position model. The record is from RNAcentral.